GGUGUGGAGUUCAGGAGGGAAAUGCAAAGACAUUCAGCUGCUGUACGCCAAUUAUUUCAUUACAGGGGUCAGACAGAUCCUUUGAAGGGGGAUGCCCUUAAUAAGGCUGUGAGGGACACUGCUCAUGAGGCUAUCUCUGCUAUUUUUUCAGAGGAGAAUAAGCCAACAACUACUGAAGAUCUUAACGAACGGAUACAAGGAUUUGGGAAUACAAAUUUUGAAAUGCCAUCAGAAGAUAGGAAAUCGUUUCUUAGUGAGGUAGUUGGUAUUGGAAGUGCAUCUAUUAAGCAGGGACUUAGUAACUUCACACAAGGCCAUUCAUUACGAAAGAAUGACAAUGGAAGCUACAAAGGUCCUAAUCUUCGUAGGUCAUUGACCAUAGAAAAUGAUCACGCAGAUAGAUAUGAACCAGUUCAGUUACGCAAUGAAACUCAGGGUAGUUUUGGAGUUUUGAAGAAUGCAACUAGUGGACCUUGGGGCCAGGACAGUAGGGUCUCAAAUGCUGAGACAAAAAAUGGGGGCUCCAGUUCAAGUUAUACAGAGAGUAAGACUCGUGAGGAGAGAUUAUUGGAGACUAUUGUAACAUCUGGUGGCAUACGUCUACAACCCACCCGUGAUGCCAUUCAAGUUUUUCUAUUAGAGGCAGCAAAGUUGGAUGCACGUGCCCUAAGUCAUGCCCUUGAAUCUAAGCUCCAGUCUCCUGUGUGGCAGGUUUGCAUGAAAGCUGUGUGUGUGCUUGAGUCAAU
RNAcentral lists this unclassified non-coding RNA (746 nucleotides) under Hevea brasiliensis (rubber tree). The record is from RNAcentral. Lineage: Eukaryota; Viridiplantae; Streptophyta; Magnoliopsida; Malpighiales; Euphorbiaceae.